GCUUAGACUUUCACAAAGCUAAGCUUGAGGGGGAGUGUUAAGAUGAGGAGUGUUAAGUGAAGAAUGGAGAUGAGGGUUGAGUAGAAUGAAGAGGAGGAAGGAUAGGAAGGUUUGGGAGCUUUGGGAUCAGCCAGUCCGUACAAGGCCGUACAUGGCCGUACAUGGCCGUACAUGGCCGGACAGUCCGUACAAGAUGGGAUCAACCAAAGCUCAACCAAACCUUACCAUAAGUUAUCCGAGUUACUUAAGUAAAGAGGAGAAGUUACCUUAGCCUUUUGUGGGAUGGAUCAGACCGUUGGAAAGGAUAAGGGAGUCUUGGACAGGCUGGCACAGCUGGAAAAGCAAAAGCAAAAGGGCAUGAGCCAGCUAAGGAAGGCUCACACGCGCGGCUCACAUCAUUGGAUGAUUUUGAAAUGGUCAUUGACUCCACAUGCUUAUCUUAUCCUCUUGUUUAUGAAAACCCUAAGCUCUCUCCCUAUAAAUAUGUAAACACUCUCUCAUUAAUUAAUCAAGCAAGUUUUGAGUCUUUCUCUUAGUCUUUAAUCUCAAUGGUUCCUUAUUAGACUCAUAAUUGUUGAACUGAAGAGAAGAUGGAGCUUGUACAAGAAUAGGGCAAGCUCUAGAAGAUGUCUAGAAGAGUUCAACCAAGCUUCAGAAGUGUUCUGAAGGAGUUAUCUUGUGAAGUUAAGUCUAGGAAAGACUUAGACUGAUCAUGUGGAGGCUUUGGAGGAGUUAAAGAGAAGAUGGAAGUAUGGUGCAAAGAUAGGGCGUUCGGUACGGCCAUG
RNAcentral lists this long non-coding RNA (785 nucleotides) under Brassica napus (rape). RNAcentral's name for it is "long non-coding RNA (BNAP_LNC025290)". Lineage: Eukaryota; Viridiplantae; Streptophyta; Magnoliopsida; Brassicales; Brassicaceae. The record is from RNAcentral.